UGCCUAACCCUUGUGGUCUAAAACCCGAGGUAUGGCAAAUAUAAAUCCUACGCGAAUAGAACGGCUCCAUAACCGCCACUUAUUCGCGUAGGUCUAUGCUCCGAAAGGACAUAGGACGGUCUCGAAAGGGAUCGCC
Molecule: small RNA, 136 nt
Filed under: unclassified sequences
Description: LOOT RNA
Rfam family: LOOT RNA
About the family: Latescibacteria, OD1/Parcubacteria, OP11, TM7. Lineage (Microgenomates, aka OP11)
Source: Rfam by way of RNAcentral